UGCACCAUCGCAGGUGGAUUUCUUCAUUCCUCUGCUGAUUUUUAGUUCCUUCUUUUUCUCCUUUUUCGUUCUCUAUUAGUUUUCUUGGCCCUUCUCCUUCUCUUCUUCCUCCUUUUGUCCUCUAAUGAUUGGCUUUGAGGGUUUUAGUGAGAGUUGGUCUUCUAAGCCCUCUCCUGCUUUGGGGGAAGAUCCUAUCGGUUCUGAC
Molecule: long non-coding RNA, 205 nt
Filed under: Elaeis guineensis (African oil palm)
Lineage: Eukaryota; Viridiplantae; Streptophyta; Magnoliopsida; Arecales; Arecaceae
Description: long non-coding RNA (EGUI_LNC003319)
Source: RNAcentral